GACGAACUUUGGCGGCGUGCUUAACACAUGCAAGUCGAACGGAAAGGCCCUGCUUUUGUGGGGUGCUCGAGUGGCGAACGGGUGAGUAACACGUGAGUAACCUGCCCUUGACUUUGGGAUAACUUCAGGAAACUGGGGCUAAUACCGGAUAGGAGCUCCUGCUGCAUGGUGGGGGUUGGAAAGUUUCGGCGGUUGGGGAUGGACUCGCGGCUUAUCAGCUUGUUGGUGGGGUAGUGGCUUACCAAGGCUUUGACGGGUAGCCGGCCUGAGAGGGUGACCGGCCACAUUGGGACUGAGAUACGGCCCAGACUCCUACGGGAGGCAGCAGUGGGGAGUAUUGCACAAUGGGCGGAAGCCUGAUGCAGCAACGCCGCGUGCGGGAUGACGGCCUUCGGGUUGUAAACCGCUUUCGCCUGUGACGAGGCGUGAGUGACGGUAAUGGGUAAAGAAGCACCGGCUAACUACGUGCCAGCAGCCGCGGUGAUACGUAGGGUGCGAGCGUUGUCCGGAUUUAUUGGGCGUAAAGGGCUCGUAGGUGGUUGAUCGCGUCGGAAGUGUAAUCUUGGGGCUUAACCCUGAGCGUGCUUUCGAUACGGGUUGACUUGAGGAAGGUAGGGGAGAAUGGAAUUCCUGGUGGAGCGGUGGAAUGCGCAGAUAUCAGGAGGAACACCAGUGGCGAAGGCGGUUCUCUGGGCCUUUCCUGACGCUGAGGAGCGAAAGCGUGGGGAGCGAACAGGCUUAGAUACCCCGGUAGUCCACGCUGUAAACGGUGGGUACUAGGUGUGGGGUCCAUUCCACGGGUUCCGUGCCGUAGCUAACGCUUUAAGUACCCCGCCUGGGGAGUACGGCCGCAAGGCUAAAACUCAAAGGAAUUGACGGGGCCCCGCACAAGCGGCGGAGCAUGCGGAUUAAUUCGAUGCAACGCGUAGAACCUUACCUGGGUUUGACAUGGAUCGGGAGUGCUCAGAGAUGGGUGUGCCUCUUUUGGGGUCGGUUCACAGGUGGUGCAUGGCUGUCGUCAGCUCGUGUCGUGAGAUGUUGGGUUAAGUCCCGCAACGAGCGCAACCCUUGUUCACUGUUGCCAGCACGUUAUGGUGGGGACUCAGUGGAGACCGCCGGGGUCAACUCGGAGGAAGGUGGGGAUGACGUCAAGUCAUCAUGCCCCUUAUGUCCAGGGCUUCACGCAUGCUACAAUGGCUGGUACAGAGAGUGGCGAGCCUGUGAGGGUGAGCGAAUCUCGGAAAGCCGGUCUCAGUUCGGAUUGGGGUCUGCAACUCGACCUCAUGAAGUCGGAGUCGCUAGUAAUCGCAGAUCAGCAACGCUGCGGUGAAUACGUUCCCGGGGCU
This 1346-nucleotide ribosomal RNA is filed under the name uncultured bacterium. Its description in RNAcentral is "partial 16S ribosomal RNA". It matches the Rfam family "Bacterial small subunit ribosomal RNA", at positions 28 to 1381 of the family's 1533-position model. The record is from RNAcentral.